UUUUAUGGAGAGUUUGAUCCUGGCUCAGAGUGAACGCUGGCGGCGUGCCUAAUACAUGCAAGUCGAACGAUGAAGCUUCUAGCUUGCUAGAGUGCUGAUUAGUGGCGCACGGGUGAGUAACGCAUAGGUCAUGUACCUCUUAGUUUGGGAUAGCCAUUGGAAACGAUGAUUAAUACCAGAUACUCCCUACGGGGGAAAGAUUUAUCGCUAAGAGAUCAGCCUAUGUCCUAUCAGCUUGUUGGUAAGGUAAUGGCUUACCAAGGCUAUGACGGGUAUCCGGCCUGAGAGGGUGAACGGACACACUGGAACUGAGACACGGUCCAGACUCCUACGGGAGGCAGCAGUAGGGAAUAUUGCUCAAUGGGGGAAACCCUGAAGCAGCAACGCCGCGUGGAGGAUGAAGGUUUUAGGAUUGUAAACUCCUUUUGUUAGAGAAGAUAAUGACGGUAUCUAACGAAUAAGCACCGGCUAACUCCGUGCCAGCAGCCGCGGUAAUACGGAGGGUGCAAGCGUUACUCGGAAUCACUGGGCGUAAAGAGCGCGUAGGCGGGAUAGUCAGUCAGGUGUGAAAUCCUAUGGCUUAACCAUAGAACUGCAUUUGAAACUACUAUUCUAGAGUGUGGGAGAGGUAGGUGGAAUUCUUGGUGUAGGGGUAAAAUCCGUAGAGAUCAAGAGGAAUACUCAUUGCGAAGGCGACCUGCUGGAACAUUACUGACGCUGAUUGCGCGAAAGCGUGGGGAGCAAACAGGAUUAGAUACCCUGGUAGUCCACGCCCUAAACGAUGGAUGCUAGUUGUUGGAGGGCUUAGUCUCUCCAGUAAUGCAGCUAACGCAUUAAGCAUCCCGCCUGGGGAGUACGGUCGCAAGAUUAAAACUCAAAGGAAUAGACGGGGACCCGCACAAGCGGUGGAGCAUGUGGUUUAAUUCGAAGAUACACGAAGAACCUUACCUAGGCUUGACAUUGAGAGAAUCCGCUAGAAAUAGUGGAGUGUCUAGCUUGCUAGACCUUGAAAACAGGUGCUGCACGGCUGUCGUCAGCUCGUGUCGUGAGAUGUUGGGUUAAGUCCCGCAACGAGCGCAACCCCCUUUCUUAGUUGCUAACAGGUCAUGCUGAGAACUCUAAGGAUACUGCCUCCGUAAGGAGGAGGAAGGUGGGGACGACGUCAAGUCAUCAUGGCCCUUACGCCUAGGGCUACACACGUGCUACAAUGGGGUGCACAAAGAGAAGCAAUACUGCGAAGUGGAGCCAAUCUUCAAAACACCUCUCAGUUCGGAUUGUAGGCUGCAACUCGCCUGCAUGAAGCUGGAAUCGCUAGUAAUCGCAAAUCAGCCAUGUUGCGGUGAAUACGUUCCCGGGUCUUGUACUCACCGCCCGUCACACCAUGGGAGUUGUGUUUGCCUUAAGUCAGGAUGCUAAAUUAGCUACUGCCCACGGCACACACAGCGACUGGGGUGAAGUCGUAACAAGGUAACCGUAGGUGAACCUGCGGUUGGAUCACCUCCUUUCUAGA
This 1510-nucleotide ribosomal RNA is filed under the name Helicobacter pylori. RNAcentral describes it as "bacterial SSU rRNA". It matches the Rfam family "Bacterial small subunit ribosomal RNA". Lineage: Bacteria; Pseudomonadati; Campylobacterota; Epsilonproteobacteria; Campylobacterales; Helicobacteraceae. The record is from RNAcentral.